UGAACGCUGGCGGCAUGCCUUCCACAUGCAAGUCGCACGGCAGCACGGGUGCUUGCCCCUGGUGGCGAGUGGCGAACGGGUGAGUAAUACAUCGGAACAUGUCCUGUAGUGGGGGAUAGCCCGGCGAAAGCCGGAUUAAUACCGCAUACGAUCUACGGAUGAAAGCGGGGGACCUUCGGGCCUCGCGCUAUAGGGUUGGCCGAUGGCUGAUUAGCUAGUUGGUGGGGUAAAGGCCUACCAAGGCGACGAUCAGUAGCUGGUCUGAGAGGACGACCAGCCACACUGGGACUGAGACACGGCCCAGACUCCUACGGGAGGCAGCAGUGGGGAAUUUUGGACAAUGGGCGAAAGCCUGAUCCAGCAAUGCCGCGUGUGUGAAGAAGGCCUUCGGGUUGUAAAGCACUUUUGUCCGGAAAGAAAUCCUUGGCCCUAAUACGGUCGGGGGAUGACGGUACCGGAAGAAUAAGCACCGGCUAACUACGUG
This 484-nucleotide ribosomal RNA is filed under the name uncultured bacterium. RNAcentral's name for it is "partial 16S ribosomal RNA". It matches the Rfam family "Bacterial small subunit ribosomal RNA", at positions 30 to 507 of the family's 1533-position model. The record is from RNAcentral.